RNAcentral lists this ribosomal RNA (759 nucleotides) under uncultured eukaryote. RNAcentral's name for it is "SSU rRNA". It matches the Rfam family "Eukaryotic small subunit ribosomal RNA", at positions 1035 to 1814 of the family's 1831-position model. The record is from RNAcentral.
AACGAUGCCGACUCGGGAUUGGCGGGUGUUUAUUCGAUGACUCCGCCAGCACCGUAUGAGAAAUCAAAGUUUUUGGGUUCCGGGGGGAGUAUGGUCGCAAGGCUGAAACUUAAAGGAAUUGACGGAAGGGCACCACCAGGCGUGGAGCCUGCGGCUCAAUUUGACUCAACACGGGAAAACUUACCAGGUCCAGACGUAGGAAGGAUUGACAGAUUGAUAGCUCUUUCUUGAUUCUUAUGGGUGGUGGUGCAUGGCCGUUCUUAGUUGGUGGGUUGCCUUGUCAGGUUGAUUCCGGUAACGAACGAGACCUCAGCCUGCUAAAUAGUCACGGCUGCAUCCGCAGCUGGCAAACUUCUUAGAGGGACUGUUGGCGACUAGCCAACGGAAGUAUGAGGCAAUAACAGGUCUGUGAUGCCCUUAGAUGUUCUGGGCCGCACGCGCGCUACACUGAUACGUUCAACAAGUUCCUUGGCUCGAAAGGUCUGGGUAAUCUUUGAAACCGUAUCGUGAUGGGGAUAGAACAUUGCAACUAUUGUUCUUCAACGAGGAAUGCCUAGUAAUCGCGAGUCAUCAUCUCGCGUUGAUUACGUCCCUGCCCUUUGUACACACCGCCCGUCGCUCCUACCGAUUGGAUGUGCUGGUGAAGACUUCGGAUCGGCCACGCUAACUAGGUCUUCCUAGUUGUGGGGUUGAGAAGUUGUUUAAACCCUCCCAUUUAGAGGAAGGAGAAGUCGUAACAANAGUUUCCCGUAGGUGAAC